RNAcentral lists this ribosomal RNA (319 nucleotides) under uncultured bacterium. RNAcentral describes it as "bacterial SSU rRNA". It matches the Rfam family "Bacterial small subunit ribosomal RNA", at positions 28 to 334 of the family's 1533-position model. The record is from RNAcentral.
GACGAACGUUGGCGGCCGCGGCCGUAACACAUGCAAGUCGAACGAGCGAGAGAGGAGCGUUGACGUUUCUCAAAGCGAGUGGCGAACGGGUGAGUAACGCGCGAGGAACCUGCCUCAAAGAGGGGGACAACAGUUGGAAACGACUGCUAAUACCGCAUAAGCCCACAGCUCGGCAUCGAGCAGAGGGAAAAGGAGUGAUCCGCUUUGAGAUGGCCUCGCGUCCGAUUAGCUAGUUGGUGAGGUAACGGCCCACCAAGGCAACGAUCGGUAGCCGGACUGAGAGGUUGAACGGCCACAUUGGGACUGAGACACGGCCCAG